CCGGCGGGACGGACGAAGGACGCAGGGAAGGAAGGGGAGGUGCCGCUCGCCGCCCGCCCGCCCUCCGCCUCAGGCUGCGCGUGCGCCCGGCGGCGGCCGGGGCUUUCCCGGCGCGGCGCCCGCAGUCGGAGUUUCCCGGGCAGGGGCGGUGCCGGGCGGGGGCUCCUCUCCCCCUGCGCCCCCUUGCCAGGCUCCGCAUAUAGGCGGGGGCGCGCACCGGGGCCGCCCGCUGCGGGGGGCCCGGCCGGAGACCGCUUUGUUCCACCCGAAAGAAUUAAAUGAUUGAAACCAUAGAUACUUACAAUUUCUUCUCGUGGACAGUCAGUAUCAAUAUGGAGGCGUAGGCACCUUAGAAGGGACUUCAGUCUGAACUCUGGGAGGUAGUUCUGUGCACAAAUAAAGAAACUAAGGCUUCAAAAAAAAUUUUUUUUUUUUUUAAUCUGAGGAUUCUGUUUGUUUCUGUAUGCCAUAAACAUGGAAUACAGAAAAAACUCAAUUCAACAUUAUAAAGCAUUAGAAUGUCCCCAUACAAGGCAAUUCAUUUAUGUUAAAUUUGAUAACCCUAUACCUGUAACUAAGGCACCAGGUUAAAACUGAAAUGCCCCGUUCAGUCUGUGCUGACAUUGUUAUAGACAGAAAAGCCUGAGGCUAUUCCAGGCUUGUUAAUUAAGACAGUUCAUCCUUGUCAGAGACAGCGUAUAGGAUUUAUCUCGUAGCUGAAUAUUUGAUACAUGUGAAGUUGAGUAUAAGCUAACUUCUUUAGUCUUAAUAAUUACUACAACGAUAUGCAGAAGUUGAGGGUUUUUUGGAAGUCUAGUAGUAGCAAAUAUACCAGAUCAGUUCAGUAAUGUCAGUUGAGGGGCUCUUUUUUCAUAUGCCUUUUGGGCUUGAUAAACCAUUGUUUUCAGCCUCCUAAUGAGGUUUACAAACUAAAGUCUUUACAUGUGUAUAAGCUGCAUAUUCAUCAGCUGUCUAGGGUGAAAUAGUUCUUAAUCACUUAACAUAUGUUCUGGUUAAAAAUGAUGGCAUUUUAAUUGGCCCCCGUUUUAGUUUCUUUAUUGACAAAGGAUUUUGAUAAACCCAUCUGAGGUUUUUCCCCUCUGGAUCCCACCUCCACUAGCCUGACAAAUUGAUACUGCUCUCCCAGACAUACAGUACAAGGAAAGCAUGUGAUGCCCCUAUGAUUCAAGGGGAAGUCCUUUUUGACAUGCUUUCUUCAAUUGUCAAAAUGGGAUGGGGCAGCUUUUGCACUGAAAGCAGUUGUGUAAGCUAAAGUACAAGAACUUCCCAAAGGUUUAAAAGCUGUUAAUCAUGAGGCUAAUUCUAUUCACAUAUGCAUUCAAAGUAUUUCAUUUUCAGGUUCUUACUUUUGUACAGGCAGGGGUUAUUCCGAAUUGCCUUUAAUGCACACAACUACCUCCCAGAGGAAGACUUGUCCCAU
RNAcentral lists this long non-coding RNA (1441 nucleotides) under Aquila chrysaetos chrysaetos. RNAcentral describes it as "lncRNA (ENSACCG00020008652.1)". The record is from RNAcentral. Lineage: Eukaryota; Metazoa; Chordata; Aves; Accipitriformes; Accipitridae.